UACAUGGGGUGCAAACGUUGCUCGGAAUUAUUGGGCGUAAAGCGCACGUAGGCGGUUCGUUAAGUCGGAUGUGAAAGCCCUCGGCUCAACUGAGGAAGUGCACCCGAAACUGGCGAGCUUGAGUACGAAAGAGGAUCGCGGAAUUCCCGGUGUAGAGGUGAAAUUCGUAGAUAUCGGGAGGAACACCGGUGGCGAAGGCGGCGAUCUGGGUCGAUACUGACGCUGAGGUGCGAAAGCGUGGGGAGCAAACAGGGAUUAAGAUACCCGUAGUC
This 272-nucleotide ribosomal RNA is filed under the name uncultured bacterium. RNAcentral's name for it is "partial 16S ribosomal RNA". It matches the Rfam family "Bacterial small subunit ribosomal RNA", at positions 524 to 795 of the family's 1533-position model. The record is from RNAcentral.